UAGCAGUAGGGAAUCUUCCACAAUGGGCGCAAGCCUGAUGGAGCAACGCCGCGUGUGUGAUGAAGGGUUUCGGCUCGUAAAACACUGUUAUAAGAGAAGAACGGCACUGAGAGUAACUGUUCAGUGUGUGACGGUAUCUUACCAGAAAGGAACGGCUAAAUACGUGCCAGCAGCCGCGGUAAUACGUAUGUUCCAAGCGUUAUCCGGAUUUAUUGGGCGUAAAGCGAGCGCAGACGGUUAUUUAAGUCUGAAGUGAAAGCCCUCAGCUCAACUGAGGAAUUGCUUUGGAAACUGGAUGACUUGAGUGCAGUAGAGGAAAGUGGAACUCCAUGUGUAGCGGUGGAAU
RNAcentral lists this ribosomal RNA (346 nucleotides) under uncultured bacterium. RNAcentral describes it as "bacterial SSU rRNA". It matches the Rfam family "Bacterial small subunit ribosomal RNA", at positions 349 to 687 of the family's 1533-position model. The record is from RNAcentral.